This 129-nucleotide small nuclear RNA is filed under the name Chinchilla lanigera (long-tailed chinchilla). RNAcentral describes it as "U4 spliceosomal RNA (ENSCLAG00000020547.1)". It matches the Rfam family "U4 spliceosomal RNA". From Rfam's summary of the family: U4 small nuclear RNA (U4 snRNA) is a component of the major U2-dependent spliceosome. The structure of U4 snRNA from yeast and human has been reported. U4 snRNA presents a k-turn RNA motif in the 5p-SL related to recognition of Snu13 protein. Lineage: Eukaryota; Metazoa; Chordata; Mammalia; Rodentia; Chinchillidae. The record is from Rfam by way of RNAcentral.
AGCUUUAUGCAGUGGCAGUAUUGCAGCCAGUGAGGUUUAUCCGAAGCAUAACUAGUGCUAGUUGAAAACUUUUCUCAAAGAAAUGUAAAUUUAAAACACUUACAUAAUUUAACUGGAAUAUGUAAACUU